This 1953-nucleotide long non-coding RNA is filed under the name Volvox carteri. RNAcentral describes it as "long non-coding RNA (VCAR_LNC000034)". Lineage: Eukaryota; Viridiplantae; Chlorophyta; Chlorophyceae; Chlamydomonadales; Volvocaceae. The record is from RNAcentral.
AAUCAGCCUGCGUGAUUUUGAGCCGAGAGUUGAGUAAAAGCCGAUUGGAGGGUUAGGGUUAGUCCGACGAGCGCUGAGGAUGCUAGCCGGAAACAAUGGCCAGCCGCAAUUGCCCACACUUUUAUUCUUUAGCUCAAGAUCAUGUCCAUUGUGUCAGCGCCUUAUUGGCGAUUUGCAAAAGGUGCGCAGAAUAAAACCAAACUUCGCGAACGCGAUGGACGAUGCCCUCUCCACAUAUGGCAAUCGCAGGUGAAGGGAAACAAUCGUUGUGUUGACAUAAUGCAAGUGGAUGCUGGUGAUGAGGCAAAAUGGGCGCCGGAGGUAAGUUUGCAAGAGUCGGCAAGACUGUUCCACAGAGCGUUGCGACCAUUGCAAAUUUGAUUCGUCGUAGCAAUAGGCACCUUCAAUGUCCGCGUAUGACUUGCUCUAUCAGCGGCGCAGAUAUGGAUGGUGCCCCCAUAACACCUCCCCCGGCCACCUCAGAGAGGACCUGUGUGCCUCACGCCCGCCCACUUACGAGGCAAGACUCGAACGGCACCAGCACAGCACAGGCUGGGCAGCAUGUGUGCCCAGCGGGGCUGUGUCCUGUCCAGCUUCAGGACAUGCUCUCGUCCAAAUCCAAACAGACUUUUGUACUGUGAUUGUACCCAAGAUCUAAUGCGUGAUGCAGAUCUCCAACCGGACUCUGUGCCUGAACCCUUCAACCCAUUCCACUCGUGUUGCAGUUGCUCCAUUACCAGAUAGCCCGCGUACCGGCUUUUGUACUACUUAACAAACAAGGUGGGAACGUCAGGUACCCCUGGUCUCAUGUCAUAAGGAGGGCUUGGUCGUUUGCUUGAUUGGGUGUUACCUGACCGUUCCCGGCAACGUUAAGGCUUGUGGCGUUGCAAGGUGCAAGUGUAGGUCCUUCGUGCAGGUCAAGCAGUCGCAUCAAUUACGCAGCCCCACUCAUACGAGCAGAUGCGGUGCAUCUUGGGCGCCCUGCUCGCCAGGGCAACACAGCCUUGACGGAGUUGACUCUUCCGUUCUGAGAGGGCCUGAGAGAGCUCUGGAUGGAGCCGUUGAUUUCCUUCUUCGCAACAAGUAGGACAUGGCUGGCGAAGAUUCUUCUACCUGACCAGUGUAAAGCAAAAAGUGGACAAGGAUGAUGCACGAGGCUAGGGCCGUUCGCAGCCCUCACAGCACAGUACGGCCAUGUGUACGGGAGAGGAGCCACUGAUACAGGGGGGGUAUCGCUAUUCCCGUCGGCUUGCAUGCAGCAACGUGCGUGUGCACCAGCACAACAGGCGGUAUUCACCACCAUGCGCACACCUACCUGUAAAAGUAGUCAAGCUGAUAGUCAAGCUGAUAAUCAAGCUGAUUCUUUUAGUUUGUGUAGCAUGUAAUCGGUGAUUUCGGAUGCCUAGCUAGGGUCCAGAUAUUGCCUUGCGACCUGAGGUCCCUAAACCUAAGCAUAAGCAGCAUAGCCAAGUGAACUUGGCCUUACUCCUUGAAGCUGGAUCCAUGCUGGAAAGGUGGCAUUUAUGGUGUACCAUAACUAUCUGGGCAGUUUUUGCUGUCCCAAUGUUGUCAAAACGUUUUCCCUCAGCUUUGCACUAGUGCCGUUAUAUUACACGAAGCGCUGUUAGCUUCGUCAGAGUUCAGACACUUCUUUGACGUCCCUUUUUUUUGUGUGUGUUACAUGGUUGGGGGUGCGUGACCCCAUACCUGUAAGACAACCCAUACGAGCCGAAGGCCCAAGGGCAAUACUACAACGCCUAAAAGCCACGGAGGAAAGGAAAACACCGCACAUCAGCCCAGGCUAGCGUCCAAAGGGGGUAACUGAGUUUCGGUGAGCCCACAUACGUUCCAACAUCCUUGCCAGCCGUGCUGGUUCCCAUUUCAUGGCCUCCAACGUGCUCUGUUGAUGAUCGAAUCCCUCUUCAGCACGAAUACCAUUGUAAGCUGUGCAUU